RNAcentral lists this non-coding RNA (90 nucleotides) under human gut metagenome. Its description in RNAcentral is "TPP riboswitch (THI element)". It matches the Rfam family "TPP riboswitch aptamer (THI element)", at positions 7 to 92 of the family's 105-position model. Rfam says of the family: Vitamin B(1) in its active form thiamin pyrophosphate (TPP) is an essential coenzyme that is synthesised by coupling of pyrimidine and thiazole moieties in bacteria. The record is from RNAcentral.
AUGCUAGGGGAGCCUUUGGGCUGAGAUUGGUAGUUACCUGACCCUCUCUACUUGAACCGGAUAAUGCCGGCGUAAGGAAGCAGAUGUAUA